RNAcentral lists this ribosomal RNA (497 nucleotides) under uncultured bacterium. RNAcentral's name for it is "partial 16S ribosomal RNA". It matches the Rfam family "Bacterial small subunit ribosomal RNA", at positions 28 to 507 of the family's 1533-position model. The record is from RNAcentral.
GAUGAACGCUGGCGGCGUGCCUAAUACAUGCAAGUCGAGCGAACGGACGAGAAGCUUGCUUUUCUGAUGUUAGCGGCGGACGGGUGAGUAACACGUGGAUAACCUACCUAUAAGACUGGGAUAACUUCGGGAAACCGGAGCUAAUACCGGAUAAUAUUUUGAACCGCAUGGUUCAAAAGUGAAAGACGGUCUUGCUGUCACUUAUAGAUGGAUCCGCGCUGCAUUAGCUAGUUGGUAAGGUAACGGCUUACCAAGGCAACGAUGCAUAGCCGACCUGAGGGGGUGAUCGGCCACACUGGAACUGAGACGCGGUCCAGACUCCUACGGGAGGCAGCAGUAGGGAAUCUUCCGCAAUGGGCGAAAGCCUGACGGAGCAACGCCGCGUGAGUGAUGAAGGUCUUCGGAUCGUAAAACUCUGUUAUUAGGGAAGAACAUAUGUGUAAGUAACUGCGCACAUCUUGACGGUACCUAAUCAGAAAGCCACGGCUAACUACGUG